Molecule: long non-coding RNA, 646 nt
Organism: Oncorhynchus keta (chum salmon)
Lineage: Eukaryota; Metazoa; Chordata; Actinopteri; Salmoniformes; Salmonidae
Exons: 3
Source: RefSeq, a predicted model, not a curated record
UGACAGACUAACCAGGUUUAUCCCCACACAGACUGGUACAGGAUGACAGACUAACCCAGGUUUAUCCCCACACAGACUGGUACAGGAUGACAGACUAACCCAGGUUUAUCCCCACACAGACUGGUACAGGAUGACAGACUAACCCAGGUUUAUCCCCACACAGACUGGUACAGGAUGACAGACUAACCCAGGUUUAUCCCCACACAGACUGGUACAGGUAUGGAUGACAGACUAACCCAGGUUUAUCCCCACACAGACUGGUACAGGUAUGGAUGACAGACUAACCCAGGUUUAUCCCCACACAGACUGGUACAGGUAUGGAUGACAGACUAACCCAGGUUUAUCCCCACACAGACUGGUACAGGAUGACAGACUAACCCAGGUUUAUCCCCACACAGACUGGUACAGGUAUGGAUGACAGACUAACCCAGGUUUAUCCCCACACAGACUGGUACAGGAUGACAGACUAACCCAGGUUUAUCCCCACACAGACUGGUACAGGAUGACAGACUAACCCAGGUUUAUCCCCACACAGACUGGUACAGGAUGACAGACUAACCCAGGUUUAUCCCCACACAGACUGGUACAGGAUGACAGACUAACCCAGGUUUAUCCCCACACAGACUGGUACAGGUAUGGAUGACAG